AUUGAACGCUGGCGGCAGGCCUAACACAUGCAAGUCGAACGGUAACAGGAAGCAGCUUGCUGCUUUGCUGACGAGUGGCGGACGGGUGAGUAAUGUCUGGGAAACUGCCUGAUGGCGGGGGAUAACUACUGGAAACGGUAGCUAAUACCGCAUAAUUUCGCAAGACCAAAGAGGGGUACCUUCGGGCCUCUUGCCAUCGGAUGUGCCCAGAUGGGAUUAGCUAGUAGGUGGGGUAAAGGCUCACCUAGGCGACGAUCCCUAGCUGGUCUGAGAGGAUGACCAGCCACACUGGAACUGAGACACGGUCCAGACUCCUACGGGAGGCAGCAGUGGGGAAUAUUGCACAAUGGGCGCAAGCCUGAUGGAGCCAUGCCGCGUGUAUGAAGAAGGCCUUCGGGUUGUAAAGUACUUUCAGCGGGGAGGAAGGAAGUAAAGUUAAUACCUUUGCUCAUUGACGUUACCCGCAGAAGAAGCACCGGCUAACUCCGUG
RNAcentral lists this ribosomal RNA (490 nucleotides) under uncultured bacterium. Its description in RNAcentral is "partial 16S ribosomal RNA". It matches the Rfam family "Bacterial small subunit ribosomal RNA", at positions 30 to 507 of the family's 1533-position model. The record is from RNAcentral.